AGUGGUGCAGUGGUUAGCACUCUUGCCUCACAGCAAGAAGGCCCUGGUUCAAGUCCUGGCU
RNAcentral lists this transfer RNA (61 nucleotides) under Oryzias latipes (Japanese medaka). It matches the Rfam family "tRNA", at positions 6 to 65 of the family's 71-position model. Rfam says of the family: Transfer RNA (tRNA) molecules are approximately 80 nucleotides in length. Their secondary structure includes four short double-helical elements and three loops (D, anti-codon, and T loops). Further hydrogen bonds mediate the characteristic L-shaped molecular structure. tRNAs have two regions of fundamental functional importance: the anti-codon, which is responsible for specific mRNA codon recognition, and the 3' end, to which the tRNAs corresponding amino acid is attached (by aminoacyl-tRNA synthetases). tRNAs cope with the degeneracy of the genetic code in two manners: having more than one tRNA (with a specific anti-codon) for a particular amino acid; and 'wobble' base-pairing, i.e. permitting non-standard base-pairing at the 3rd anti-codon position. Lineage: Eukaryota; Metazoa; Chordata; Actinopteri; Beloniformes; Adrianichthyidae. The record is from Rfam by way of RNAcentral.